Molecule: ribosomal RNA, 750 nt
Filed under: Salmonella enterica subsp. enterica serovar Typhimurium
Lineage: Bacteria; Pseudomonadati; Pseudomonadota; Gammaproteobacteria; Enterobacterales; Enterobacteriaceae
Description: partial 23S ribosomal RNA
Rfam family: Bacterial large subunit ribosomal RNA
Source: RNAcentral
GAACCCCGGCGAGGGGAGUGAAAAAGAACCUGAAACCGUGUACGUACAAGCAGUGGGAGCACCCUUUGGGGUGUGACUGCGUACCUUUUGUAUAAUGGGUCAGCGACUUAUAUUCUGUAGCAAGGUUAACCGAAUAGGGGAGCCGGAGGGAAACCGAGUCUUAAUUGGGCGUUAAGUUGCAGGGUAUAGACCCGAAACCCGGUGAUCUAGCCAUGGGCAGGUUGAAGGUUGGGUAACACUAACUGGAGGACCGAACCGACUAAUGUUGAAAAAUUAGCGGAUGACCUGUGGCUGGGGGUGAAAGGCCAAUCAAACCGGGAGAUAGCUGGUUCUCCCCGAAAGCUAUUUAGGUAGCGCCUCGUGAAUUCAUCUCCGGGGGUAGAGCACUGUUUCGGCUAGGGGGCCAUCCCGGCUUACCAACCCGAUGCAAACUGCGAAUACCGGAGAAUGUUAUCACGGGAGACACACGGCGGGUGCUAACGUCCGUCGUGAAGAGGGAAACAACCCAGACCGCCAGCUAAGGUCCCAAAGUCAUGGUUAAGUGGGAAACGAUGUGGGAAGGCCCAGACAGCCAGGAUGUUGGCUUAGAAGCAGCCAUCAUUUAAAGAAAGCGUAAUAGCUCACUGGUCGAGUCGGCCUGCGCGGAAGAUGUAACGGGGCUAAACCAUGCACCGAAGCUGCGGCAGCGAACGUAUCACUUAAAGCGAUUCAGCGGGUUACGAUUGACGGAGCGAAGCGACGUCAAAGCGU